AGGGCCCUGUGUUGUUCGUGGGCGAAAAGAAUUUCUAGCCUACAACUUUAGACUAGGGGCAAACCCUUACCGCGGUGUGCAAGCCUUCCAUAAGUAGAAGGAAGCCUAAAGCGGUAAUACUGAGCACCCACCUUAUGGUAUGGUGCUAGAAAUUCUUCAAACACGGCAUCUACGGGGCUCAU
RNAcentral lists this non-coding RNA (182 nucleotides) under Deltaproteobacteria bacterium RIFCSPHIGHO2_12_FULL_43_9. RNAcentral's name for it is "6S RNA". It matches the Rfam family "6S / SsrS RNA". Rfam says of the family: E. coli 6S RNA was the first non coding RNA to be sequenced, but its function was unknown until recently. It consists of 184 nucleotides that fold into an extended hairpin structure with a large single-stranded internal bulge. The 6S RNA specifically associates with RNA polymerase holoenzyme containing the sigma70 specificity factor. Lineage: Bacteria; Deltaproteobacteria. The record is from RNAcentral.